Molecule: long non-coding RNA, 697 nt
Filed under: Citrus sinensis (sweet orange)
Lineage: Eukaryota; Viridiplantae; Streptophyta; Magnoliopsida; Sapindales; Rutaceae
Description: long non-coding RNA (CSIN_LNC005661)
Source: RNAcentral
AAAAAAAAAGUACUAAUACCCUUGAAAUAAUAACACUCCAAAAAUAAAAACAAAAAGGUAGGAGAAUUUGUUGACAAAAAAAACCAAAAAUAGAAAUAAAACCUUUCAAUGUUUUGAGGAGUUUCGCUCGCAGCUUGGGCUUUUCACGGCAAUGAUUCCAGUGAUGACUGUGACAAUCAAGGUUGAACAACUGAUAGUGAAGACCAUCGUGCAAUAGGAGCAAUGAUUGCCGGUCGAAAAAGCAGACCUCUGCCACUCUCUCUCCCAGUCUCUCUCGUCCGCAAACAAAAUACCGAUUGAUGGAUUGGAUUAGUUGUUUGGUUUGAGCAAGAUAGUGGCUUUGAUUUUAUGUGAAUAGUAAAGAAAUCGAAGAGAGAAAUCAGAGAUUUGAGAGAGAAAUGUGAUUUCAAGUGAUGAGCAAAGAAAUUGAAUAAGAGAAGAUUAGGGUUCGUUCGGUAUCGUUUUAUAAGAAGUAUUUUCAUUUUCGUCUCUUAAUUCAAGUGUAAUCCAUGAACAAAUUAUAAGUAAACUAUUAAACACGUAAAAUAAGAAGAGUUCUGUUAUUUGCCCCGGGUCAAACCUCGAAAGUAAUAAAGGAACUACGUCGUUUCAAUCUUUUUUUUUCCCUCUCAUUCAAGCUAAACGACGUCGUUUUGGUAAAAUUGUUACAGCCGAAAUUGGUUUCUCUAUGUCUUCC